Molecule: transfer RNA, 88 nt
Filed under: Acidobacteriota bacterium
Lineage: Bacteria; Pseudomonadati; Acidobacteriota
Description: Acidobacteria bacterium (activated sludge metagenome) tRNA-Cys
Rfam family: tRNA
About the family: Transfer RNA (tRNA) molecules are approximately 80 nucleotides in length. Their secondary structure includes four short double-helical elements and three loops (D, anti-codon, and T loops).
Source: RNAcentral
GCAUCGGACACCUAUCGGCAAAGGCAGGCAGUCUGCAAAACUGUCGCUCAUGUGAGCUGUAAAGGUUCGAAUUCUUUCCGAUGCGCCA